CAAGGGUUCGUAUCCCUUAGCUUACAC
RNAcentral lists this unclassified non-coding RNA (27 nucleotides) under Dictyostelium discoideum. Lineage: Eukaryota; Evosea; Eumycetozoa; Dictyosteliales; Dictyosteliaceae. The record is from RNAcentral.